RNAcentral lists this ribosomal RNA (496 nucleotides) under uncultured bacterium. Its description in RNAcentral is "partial 16S ribosomal RNA". It matches the Rfam family "Bacterial small subunit ribosomal RNA", at positions 28 to 507 of the family's 1533-position model. The record is from RNAcentral.
GAUGAACGCUGGCGGCGUGCCUAAUACAUGCAAGUCGAGCGAACAGACGAGGAGCUUGCUCCUCUGACGUUAGCGGCGGACGGGUGAGUAACACGUGGAUAACCUACCUAUAAGACUGGGAUAACUUCGGGAAACCGGAGCUAAUACCGGAUAAUAUAUUGAACCGCAUGGUUCAAUAGUGAAAGACGGGUUUGCUGUCACUUAUAGAUGGAUCCGCGCCGCAUUAGCUAGUUGGUAAGGUAACGGCUUACCAAGGCAACGAUGCGUAGCCGACCUGAGAGGGUGAUCGGCCACACGGAACUGAGACACGGUCCAGACUCCUACGGGAGGCAGCAGUAGGGAAUCUUCCGCAAUGGGCGAAAGCCUGACGGAGCAACGCCGCGUGAGUGAUGAAGGUCUUCGGAUCGUAAAACUCUGUUAUUAGGGAAGAACAAAUGUGUAAGUAACUAUGCACGUCUUGACGGUACCUAAUCAGAAAGCCACGGCUAACUACGUG